Molecule: unclassified non-coding RNA, 171 nt
Filed under: uncultured fungus
Lineage: Eukaryota; Fungi
Description: sequence contains ITS1
Source: RNAcentral
GUAAUUAUUAUAAAUAAUUCAGACGCUGAUUGAAGAUUUAAAAAGGUUAUAGUUUUGUCCAGCCGGCGAGCAAGCCCGCCGAGGAAACAAUUGGUACGCAAAAAACAAGGGUAUAAACAAGUAGCUAGGCUACUGAAUGUAAUGAUCCUUCCGCAGGUUCACCUACGGAAA